This 537-nucleotide ribosomal RNA is filed under the name Penicillium griseofulvum. RNAcentral's name for it is "eukaryotic LSU rRNA". The stretch from base 178 to 331 matches the Rfam family "5.8S ribosomal RNA". Lineage: Eukaryota; Fungi; Ascomycota; Eurotiomycetes; Eurotiales; Aspergillaceae. The record is from RNAcentral.
ACAGGUUUCCGUAGGUGAACCUGCGGAAGGAUCAUUACCGAGUGCGGGCCCCUCGGGGCCCAACCUCCCACCCGUGUUGCCCGAACCUAUGUUGCCUCGGCGGGCCCCGCGCCCGCCGACGGCCCCCCUGAACGCUGUCUGAAGUUGCAGUCUGAGACCUAUAACGAAAUUAGUUAAAACUUUCAACAACGGAUCUCUUGGUUCCGGCAUCGAUGAAGAACGCAGCGAAAUGCGAUAACUAAUGUGAAUUGCAGAAUUCAGUGAAUCAUCGAGUCUUUGAACGCACAUUGCGCCCUCUGGUAUUCCGGAGGGCAUGCCUGUCCGAGCGUCAUUGCUGCCCUCAAGCCCGGCUUGUGUGUUGGGCCCCGUCCCCCCCGCCGGGGGGACGGGCCCGAAAGGCAGCGGCGGCACCGCGUCCGGUCCUCGAGCGUAUGGGGCUUCGUCACCCGCUCUAGUAGGCCCGGCCGGCGCCAGCCGACCCCCAACCUUUAAUUAUCUCAGGUUGACCUCGGAUCAGGUAGGGAUACCCGCUGAACU